RNAcentral lists this long non-coding RNA (380 nucleotides) under Lathyrus oleraceus (garden pea). RNAcentral describes it as "Pisum sativum (pea) long non-coding RNA (PSAT_LNC021322)". The record is from RNAcentral. Lineage: Eukaryota; Viridiplantae; Streptophyta; Magnoliopsida; Fabales; Fabaceae.
GAUGAGCGACUUUAGCAGUUUCUUUUGCAAUAAUGUUUGACAGUGUGUAUAACAGCAUUUGCCACAGGGAAAUGAACCAGUUAUUGAGUUUUUAUACAUGCAAAGAUUUUGACAUAGCAAAGCAAAGAAAAGGGAAAAUUCUCUCUAAAACUUAAAAUAGUAAUUAUCAUCUAAGACCGAUGAAGAACAGAAAAAUCAAAUCUUUUCUUCUCUUCUUUCCAUUUGAGUCCAAUUUCAUCUCCUUUCUUUAAGCUUCUCCUGUCUACAAAAUCUGUGAUCCAUGCAUGUGUUGUUCGUUGCUGAAUUGUUGGUUUCUUGUUGGACAGGUUUUUGUUUCUUGACAAAUUGUGUGUCAUGGAGACAACUACAAACAGUAAGAG